UAGUUUUAUUUUUUUUAAACAUAUAUAUCUAUUAACGAAGUUGUCUGUCUACUAAAUGUUGUCACAAGCAAUAUUACAGUAAAAAACAAUUGGCGCGCUUUUUUUGCGGCGUGAGAGCGACUGCUGAAAAGUUUAGCCUGUUGCCUCGUGAAGUGACGUAAGAUUGACGUCACAUUGUCGCGGAAGAUUUGUUGUCACUCGCCAUCUUAGUUCAAGCUCAGUCUGGACAUAUUACAACCAAGUGAUUGUGCAGCAACUGGAACUGGAGAGAUGAUCUGUGAAUUCGGAUGAGCAAGGGGGAAACGUUACACGACCAUUCCAGGAGAUAAAAUCAAGAAUGAUUAAUCAUUGAGGAACACACCAAAUAAACCCUGGGCUGUGAAUUAUGUUAACGGAACUGGAAGUGAACAACAAAGAAAGGCGAUUCUGGCAUUCAAUAAUUACCCAAAAGUGUAUAAAUUUUCAAUUAUCUAAAAAUAUUAAAAUGUGAACACAAAUGUGUCUUGGAGUUCUUUGUUGAAUGGUGACGUCGCAUGACUGAAAGUUGAAGUAUACUAUAUGGACUUGAUUAGAGACCGACCAUUUAAUAUUCAAGGAGGUUGGGGACCUGGAACUUUUCUAUGGAGAUUACAUAUGUUUUCGGUCACAGCAGAUAAAAGCAGAUAUAUGAUUUUAUUUAAUUCUAUGAACCUGAAGAUAAGCAACUUGCAACUAGAUCUAUGUCCUUUUUUGUGGCAGACAUUUUUUUCACCAGUCUGAACCGUAAAUAUUUUUGUCAAGAAUUUUCGGUGACAUUAUAUUUUUUCGAUAAAAUUCCAGGACCCGACCCUCCCCAGAAAAUAUUAUAUGGUCAACCCCUUACAAUGUCUGUCAUUCUUAAUUUGUUUCCUGCAGUACUUGCCUAAAGGGCAAUGGUGUCUGACUUUGUUAUAGUCAUAUGUAUCUAGUUAACAGCUGAGUGGUGUUUUUACAUUUUGAACAUUGUCAGCAAAACACUACCUGUUAACUGGGCUA
Haliotis rufescens (red abalone) is the source of this 1014-nucleotide long non-coding RNA. RefSeq lists it as uncharacterized. The record is from RefSeq and is a predicted model, not a curated record. The transcript has 3 exons. Lineage: Eukaryota; Metazoa; Mollusca; Gastropoda; Lepetellida; Haliotidae.